GGAGGAAGAGGAAAGCCCAGUUGCCAGGCAGAGAUGGGAAAAGAGAUCUGUGAGCAGAAAUCCUGGCUGGAAACAUCUGUGGAAGGGAAAACACUCAUCAUCUUGGGUCUCCAGUUAAUGUGGCUUAACCUUGAGCCUCAACAUCUUCCAUGGCAGCAGAGCCAAAUGGUGACAUCCUGUGCUGUUCUCUCCAAGGAAAAAUAUGAGCUCCUCGACCCGGAGGUAACUCCGCAGCGCAGAGAUGGAGGGACGACAACCAGAUCCCUUGUGGUCCCACUGGGUCAGCUCACAGUGAAAAACAACAGGUCUGCAAAAUCAGCGUGUAAUUUUGGUGGAAGGAGUUUAACUGUUUGUCCAAGAGGACAUGCAGGGAUUUGGCUGGGACAGACCAACACGGAGGCAAUGGCAAAAGAAUCAAGCACAGAAUGCCAGAUUGGAAGGGACCUCAAGUAUGAAGGGAAGAGACCUCAAGGAUCGUGUUUCCUCAACAAUAAACUCUCCGAACUCCCAAGCAGCGUUUGGCAGCUGAAGUCACGUAGCUGCUGUAGAUCAGCAGAUUCACAGCAAUUGCUUGUGAUGUGACCAAUUCGCAGGAACAGGAAAGUGUGUUGAGUGACUAGUAUCUGUAUUUCACUCUCCCCUUGUAGCAGCCAAGAAGUUUAACAGACCAUUACUGUGAGCACACACUCUUUUCUUAGACUGUUGACUGAGUGGGGUUGUGGCCAUCAUGACAGAACUGGCCACUCCGAUGGCCGAGGUUGGACACUAGGUCUACUCAGCUCCUUCCCAAGGGCUGGACCUGCUUCUCUGGUGGUAUCCCAGCUCCUCCGUGUUCCUUCGGAUCUCCCCUACAGUUGGGCUGACUCCCAGAGGAUGACAGACAGAGCGGGUGUCUCCUUCAGCACCCAUAAAACAUGACACAGCCUUUGCUCCAGCUGGGACAGCCAGGCUGAGCCACGUUGGCUGCAGCUUUUGAUGUCAGGGUGAAGGGAGGGGACCUCAUAAAUUCAUUUGGAUGUGCUGCUAAUGUUCAUGCCAAGAGUGCGUAUCUUUUCUUAAUCCUUCCCCUCAAUGGCAUAUUUCCCUGACUUGUUAAUGGACCUAAUUCCGGAGGACUGUAAAGAGGUCCUGGACUGAGGGAGCUAUCACAAUUCACUGGGAUGAGACUCAGCCAUGUACAUGGAUGCAAAGAAAACUGAAGUAAUUCCUCUUUCUCUCAGUUACAGGUAUUUUCUCUUGAGUUUGGAAUCUUCUUAGUGAGAAGAAACUGCAAGAGAUGCUCUCUCUCGCUGCUGAGCAAAUAUUCUCCCCCACAAUAUUGUCCCCUCUUGCUGGCACAAGAGUCCACGUGAGCUCUCCCUGACCAGUUUCAGACAUGGACCCUCCAGAAUCUCCCAUCACUCCUGUACCCUCCCAGCUCCUGCUGCAGGAGAAAGAUAAUUCAUGGAGUGAUGCCUGAUCCAGCUAAGAUCUUCAUGGGUCCAUGAGAGCCAAGGACAGCCACCACAGCCACAAGGUGACACAUGGCACUGUCCGUGGGGGACAGUGUGUGGCCUCUUUGGGAGUGUGGCAUCACAGCACUUGCUUUAAAGAGGACUUCUUCUGGCUCCUGAGAAAUGGAGAGAUGUUCUGAUCAUGCCUGAGAGGUGAUGGACAAAAAGUGCCUGAAAUCAGACAUCAGAGACACCAGCGUGAGGAGGGAAGGGGGCAUCGUGUCCCUGUUUCCAGGGGGAGGUGGCAGCUCAACCCUUGCAGGGCCAGUGUGGUUUUGGCAGCACGUGAGGCUGAUGGCUCCGUGUCUGAUGCGGGACAUGAAGUGAGUGAACUCCAAUCUGAACCUCUUCCUAGAAAGCCUCAAAUCUGGCUUUGGUCUGAUAUUAAGCAGAAGAAACAGGGACAGAUGACUUCCCAUCCUGACUCCUUGAUUUAUUCUGAUUUUCUUCCCUGGGGGCAUGGGGCAAAUUAAACGUAGGGGCCAUUGCUGACAGAUAGUGUGGCACAUGCAGCGUGGGGACCCCUAUUUCCCAGAACUACCUGUCAUUUGUAUUCUCUUUGUUUAUGGCUUCAUUACGGAGUGGCUGACCUUUGCCGAGCAGCUUGUCAGAAGCAGAGGUUUCAACGUGAU
Calidris pugnax (ruff) is the source of this 2125-nucleotide long non-coding RNA. RefSeq lists it as uncharacterized. The record is from RefSeq and is a predicted model, not a curated record. The transcript has 6 exons. Lineage: Eukaryota; Metazoa; Chordata; Aves; Charadriiformes; Scolopacidae.